UGGUGUUCAUGAAGGGUGAAGCAGUUAUUCACAUCCCAGAUUCUUAAAGUAAGAAUUGACUCAGGUUCUUCACCUUGAAGAUUUCAUUGGCAAGGAUGGACCCAGGAUAGGAUAGGGUAGGUGGAGGAGAGGAGUAGUUAACGGCUGUCAUAGUUUCAUAAACUUGUUACUUUCUGUCUCCACUCCAAAAUGUUGUUUGUGCAACCAUCUGGACAAGAGCCUCCUAUUACAUAAUAUAUAGAUUUAAUUCUUUGGAUCAUAAUGCUAACUUUAUCUGAAAUUUAUUUUCCUGUUUAGAUGUGACGAAUGUAGACUCUGUUACCACUUUGGCUGCCUUGACCCACCACUGAAGAAGUCUCCUAAACAGACUGGCUAUGGUUGGAUUUGUCAAGAAUGUGACUCCACAUCUUCAAAAGAAGACGAUGAGGAGCUUGAGGAAGAUGAAGGUGAAGAAGAAAAUGUUGUGGAAGAAAACGAAUUCACCCCAGUAAAUGAAUAGGACAAAAAUAAUAUCUCUUACGUCAAAUAGGAAUAGAAGUGGUAAAUGCCUCAUGUUGAAAUCUACCUUUGAAAAUUGUGGGUUGCCUGCUUUGUUCUUCAGUACAGUUUUCAUCAAUCAUCAUUGUGUUAAUCCUUGUCUGUGAACCUAUUAAUAAAUACCUCAAGUGUUUUUAAGAA
Rhincodon typus (whale shark) is the source of this 678-nucleotide long non-coding RNA. RefSeq lists it as uncharacterized. NCBI's taxonomy places the organism in Eukaryota, Metazoa, Chordata, Chondrichthyes, Orectolobiformes, Rhincodontidae. The record is from RefSeq and is a predicted model, not a curated record. The transcript has 2 exons.